Molecule: ribosomal RNA, 174 nt
Filed under: Candida albicans
Lineage: Eukaryota; Fungi; Ascomycota; Pichiomycetes; Serinales; Debaryomycetaceae
Description: partial 28S ribosomal RNA
Rfam family: Eukaryotic large subunit ribosomal RNA
Source: RNAcentral
UUUGACCUCAAAUCAGGUAGGACUACCCGCUGAACUUAAGCAUAUCAAUAAGCGGAGGAAAAGAAACCAACAGGGAUUGCCUCAGUAGCGGCGAGUGAAGCGGCAAAAGCUCAAAUUUGAAAUCUGGCGUCUUUGGCGUCCGAGUUGUAAUUUGAAGAAGGUAUCUUUGGGCCC